RNAcentral lists this long non-coding RNA (1885 nucleotides) under Macaca mulatta (Rhesus monkey). RNAcentral describes it as "lncRNA (ENSMMUG00000061277.1)". Lineage: Eukaryota; Metazoa; Chordata; Mammalia; Primates; Cercopithecidae. The record is from RNAcentral.
UUUUCAUUGAUUCAACUUGUUUCUAUGUAAAAAUCAUUAUUUUUAAAAACGUCAAAUUUGUACAACUGUAGGCAGAAGGGAGUCUACUCCAACUAGCUCAUUUCUAUGCCCUGUUGACCAACCCACAAUUUUUUAAAUGUAGAGGAUGGUCACCUUUUGAACAACCAAAAUGAGUGCUCAACUUCUUAGCUAUUUCUUGGAUGAUUUCACAAAUUCCACUGUUAAGGGUUUAAAGCUUCAAACUUUUAGUUUGAGUAAUACCAAGCAGAAAAUGUCCCUGGAAAGUAAGGGGUAUUGAGGCUAUUAUCUUUAGACACGAAUGUGAAUAAAGCAAUGAAAGAUAUUUAUCUUAAUACUGAAGAAAAGAGAAGAACCAAAAGAAAGAUACCAUAAUGAGUGGGGUGGGAAUAUGUGUGUGGAUUAAAAGAGAAAGUUUAUUUUAAAAAACUUGAAUAGGUAUCAAGGAUGAAGAACCAGGAUCUCAGUCAAAACACAGAUGUCUACAUUACAACGUGGCCUAAAGACUGUCUAGCAGAAACAACAGGCUGUGUUCUUGCUGGAAAGCACCAUUGCCUAUACAAGAAAAAUUUCCUGACUGCAACUGGAAUGGCACACUGUUGACUGAAUGGAGUCAGGAAAUGGGGCCUGGGAGGAAUCCUGAGUGACUUCAGACAAUCUUUAAUAACCUGCUAACAUUUCCAGAUGUCUUGAUGGCCACUCCAGGGGAGGGGAGGGCAUUUAGAGAAGCUGGACAGUUUAUCUGGCUCUUGCAAUGAAGGAUUUUACUGAAAUGCAUAUGAUUCUUAGAGGUUUAGACUAGAAGUGCCUCCAGUGUAAAUAAUUAUAACUUUAAAAGCCUGCCCCUUCAUGUGAAUUCAGUCUAUUACUGUUUUUGUUUUGUUUUUGUUUUUUGUAUCUCUAGAGAUUACAGGGAUAAGCAAAAUUCUUAAAACAAAAGUAAUACCCCAACCACACAGGGUUUCAAGAUGCCUAAGGGAGGCAGAGGCAGGAGAAUGGCGUGAACCUGGGAGGCGGAGCUUGCAGUGAGCCCAGAUCGUGCCACUGCACUCCAGCCUGGGCGACAGAGUGAGACUCCAUCUCAAAACAAACAAACAAACAAAAAAGAUGCCUAAACUGAUUGUAUAUACUUCCCAAUGUGACUUGGAAAAGCCCCGCACAUUUUAAGAGAAUAUUCCUAGAUAUGCACAAUCAUCUGUUUAAGUUAUUUAGAGGUUUUCUCUCUUAGUAGCAACUACCUAGCACAGUCACCGCCUUUAGAAUAAUUUCUAGUAUCACGGGACUUCAGAUCUCUAUUCAGUUAUUGAUUUGGUAAUUGCAAGGAGGUGAGCAUCAGGAUACUGAGAAGGCAUAAGUUCCGAUGAAAGGGGAUACAAUUACUGAUGAGCCGAAGAAAGAAAUUGAUAAAUUCUGGAUACAGUAAUAACAACCGUCACUCAAUUAGUUAAUUAAUUUUUCAUUCAUUUAUUCGUUGCUCCAGCAAUAAUGUCUCUGUUCCUACUAUAUACCUGCCACUGUUCCCGGAUCAGAGAGAGAGAGAGCAGUGACCAAAACAGGAAGGUGAGACACAUGGGACUCGAAGCCAAUGUGCCUCUUUGUGGAGCACACUAAAAUACUAAUCUUCUAAAGAUGCAUAUAUGAAAAGUCAAGUUCAAAGUUUUUUAUGUUAUUCACUAGUCCAAACCUUUUUUUAUGUAUAAACCAACAACAGUCUUUAACCUACGUUAAAAUUUCAGCAGUACCGGGCUUCAACUGAAUUCUGAAAACUCAUUUUCCUUUCCUUACGUCCAUCCUUGCUAAUCAAAUCGAUAUACACAGACCACACAGGAGUCUGUUAUAGAACACUCAGUACAUAUAAAUAUACAGG